Molecule: long non-coding RNA, 706 nt
Filed under: Homo sapiens (human)
Lineage: Eukaryota; Metazoa; Chordata; Mammalia; Primates; Hominidae
Description: HSALNT0346752
Source: RNAcentral
AACUUCCCUGAAGGCCUUGAGCCAAUGUCUCCCACUCUUACAAGGGGCUCUGAGUACAUAGUGGGGCACAUCUGCAAUGCUCUGGAAGUUUGCCACUCUGCCUUAACCUUGACUUCCUGUUUGCAUAAGGCCUUAAGGUCACCUCCAGGUUAAUAUUCAUCUGUAGCCUGAGUGACCCCAAAAAGAUGACACUCUUCUGUCCACCAAAACCUUCCAGAGGCUUCCUGUGCUCACUUGAAGUAAAAUCCAAAGUGCUGACUGUGGUUACCAGCUCCCCGGGCUGGCCUGCUGCGGGACGGCUUCUCCACCAGCCUCCCGUUCAAGGCCUCCAUUUCUGCCACUGCGGCGUCUGCAUGGUUCCUGAGCAUCCCAAGCACAUUCCCACCUCAAGGCCUUGGUGCUUGCAGUUCAUCUGCUUCUCUCCUGGUCUAUGCCUGGCUGGUUCUUAUUUCUUUUGAAUUCGGACGAGGUGCACCUCAUGAGAGAGGCCUUCCUUGACCUCCCUCCUCCAUUCCUCUCACAGGCCCCAUCUGACAUGCUUGCCCUCCCCCUCCCCUACCCCCAUCCCCUUGUGAGCCCCAUGAGAGAAGGGCCUCUGUCCUUAGGUAGAUGUGAUUCCCCAGAACCCAGGACAGGACAGCCACACAGGAGGAAACUGACACACUUUUCUUAAAUGAUGGAAUAAAGUACUGACUGUGUUUCAAGC